This 200-nucleotide unclassified non-coding RNA is filed under the name Ramularia sp. RNAcentral describes it as "partial internal transcribed spacer 2". The record is from RNAcentral. Lineage: Eukaryota; Fungi; Ascomycota; Dothideomycetes; Mycosphaerellales; Mycosphaerellaceae.
UUAAGUUCAGCGGGUAUCCCUACCUGAUCCGAGGUCAACCUUUGAAAGAUUUAACGGCCGCGCCGGCCCGGACUCCACUGCGAAAUAGUUGCCACAACGCUGGGAGACGGGUCAGACAGCCGGAGACUUUGAGGCGCGCGGGGGACCCGCGACGCCCAAUACCAAGCGAGGCUUGAGUGGUGAAAUGACGCUCGAACAGG